UAUCCACUGUUUCGCUUUCUU
RNAcentral lists this non-coding RNA (21 nucleotides) under Caenorhabditis elegans. The record is from RNAcentral. Lineage: Eukaryota; Metazoa; Nematoda; Chromadorea; Rhabditida; Rhabditidae.